Long non-coding RNA from Thunnus maccoyii (southern bluefin tuna), 1393 nucleotides. RefSeq lists it as uncharacterized. Lineage: Eukaryota; Metazoa; Chordata; Actinopteri; Scombriformes; Scombridae. The record is from RefSeq and is a predicted model, not a curated record. The transcript is spliced from 2 exons.
GACUCACCCUGGCCAGCGGCUGACUCCUCAGCCUGCCGCUGGGUGUGCAGCUCUAUCCUCUUCUUAAUCUUUUUUCCAUUUUACAGCAGGUAGCAACCAGCGUUUAGGUGCAUUACCGCCACCUACCAUGAUGGAGUUUGGACCAGAAUUAUCUGCCUCCUGAAACAAACACAGUGUUAUCUUCUUGCUAAACUUUCAAGGGUUGGAAGCCCAAGACGCGGCGCUCAAGGUGGGUCCAGGUGUAACACCAGCGACUGUCUGACCAAUGAGAAUUUGGUUGAACAAGAGCAUAUCGACCAAUUGAUCAACAGAGAGACCACAGCUCUACUCACAGGAGAGUGGAAUCUGAGCCACGAGAUAAGCGGAGGGUAGAUCCAGCUGAUCCUGAGAUUCCGACUGCAGAUUAGAGGAGUUAAACCUCAGUGUGGCCAGACCAAUGCUCCUGUAUGCAGCUUCUCUGAUAACAGUGAGGAGCAGAUGUGGAGAUAGCGUGUGAGACGGGUUGAAGUGGAGCAAACUGAGCAAAGAGAGGGGAGUCUAGACACAGCAUAGUUGUAAAGCAGAAUAAAGUUCACUGUGGGAUCAUCAGAGAAUAAAUACAGCAGGUGAUGCUGUUUUCCACCUAGACUGUAUUUUUCCACCUUUAAUCAUUUAAUUCUGACAACAAUCUCAAAACAAAUCUGAUUAUACUCUGAUUCCUUAUGUGUAUAUGUUUUAUGCUUGUAUCAAAGUCACGAUUACGUGGGAAUGCAGUUAAGAGUUGUAAUGGUGGCUCUGUGAUAGAACAAUCACAGGAGACAUGUAACAAGGAAACACGGAGGUGGUGAAAAGGGGAAUGUUCAUUUGACAGCUAAUUCAUGUUUAUUACAACUUGAGUCUUAUCUUUGCAGUUUUGACAAUGAUUUCUAUCAGUUAGGACAAUGACUCUCAUCAAAGUCAUUUCUGAGACCUGGGAUCGUGAUUCGUCAGAACUGUUGAUUGUAAACAAGCUGACAGUUUAUCUAUAUGAUCUACACCACUCUAUCUGGAGGUGAAACUGACAAAACUGGAAACAUGUAACCCACCACAUCCUGAGGACUUUCCUAAGAAACACUCCAGCACCAGGAGAGGAAACAUAAGCCAUGCGACAGCCAUGCUAGAGUCUGUGAUGACUUUUGUUUUUAUAAUUCAUGCCUUAUGAAAUUUAUUCCUUUUCAGAAUUUGAAUAUGUCUGGUAGUAACAUUACAUUGAGAUUAAUAUCACUAUAAUAUUUUUAAAUAUUCCUGAAAUAACUUGUGAAAUUUCUCUGUCAUCAAAAUUGUUUAGUAAUUGUAAUUAACUGUCGCCUCAUGAUUGUACAACUUUAUCUUCUUUGUCAUAUAGUAAAAUACAUGCUGCUGUAGCUACUCAACA